GAUGAACGCUGGCGGUAUGCUUAACACAUGCAAGUCGAACGGACUCUUCGGAGUUAGUGGCGGACGGGUGAGUAACGCGUGGGAAUCUGGCUUUGGGUUCGGGCCAACCACUGGAAACGGUGGCUAAUACCGGAUGUGCCGAGAGGUAAAAGAGAAAUUUCCUGCAGAUGAGCUCGCGUCUGAUUAGCUAGUUGGUGAGGUAAAGGCUCACCAAGGCAGCGAUCAGUAGCUGGUCUGAGAGGAUGACCAGCCACACUGGGAAUGAGACGCGGCCCAGACUCCUACGGGAGGCAGCAGUGGGGAAUUUUCCGCAAUGGCCGAAAGCCUGACGGAGCAAUACCGCGUGAGGGAAGAAGGCUCUUGGGUUGUAAACCUCUUUUCUUAGGGAAGAACAAAAUGACGGUACCUAAGGAAUCAGCAUCGGCUAACUCCGUG
RNAcentral lists this ribosomal RNA (435 nucleotides) under uncultured bacterium. Its description in RNAcentral is "partial 16S ribosomal RNA". It matches the Rfam family "Bacterial small subunit ribosomal RNA", at positions 28 to 507 of the family's 1533-position model. The record is from RNAcentral.